UACGUAGGUCCCGAGCGUUGUCCGGAUUUAUUGGGCGUAAAGCGAGCACAGGUGGUUUAUUAAGUCUGGUGUAAAAGGCAGUGGCUCAACCAUUGUAUGCAUUGGAAACUGGUAGACUUGAGUGCAGGAGAGGAGAGUGGAAUUCCAUGUGUAGCGGUGAAGUGCGUAGAUAUAUGGAGGAACACCGGUGGCGAAAGCGGCUCUCUGGCCUGUAACUGACACUGAGGCUCGAAAGCGUGGGGAGCAAACAGG
Molecule: ribosomal RNA, 252 nt
Filed under: uncultured bacterium
Lineage: Bacteria
Description: partial 16S ribosomal RNA
Rfam family: Bacterial small subunit ribosomal RNA
Source: RNAcentral